This 888-nucleotide ribosomal RNA is filed under the name uncultured Chloroflexota bacterium. RNAcentral's name for it is "bacterial SSU rRNA". It matches the Rfam family "Bacterial small subunit ribosomal RNA", at positions 8 to 916 of the family's 1533-position model. The record is from RNAcentral. Lineage: Bacteria; Bacillati; Chloroflexota.
AGAGUUUGAUCCUGGCUCAGGAUGAACGCUGGCGGCGUGCCUAAUACAUGCAAGUCGAACGGGAAGCGAUACUUGUAUCGCGGAGAGUGGCGGACGGGUGAGUAACACGUAGAUGACCUGCCCCGGAGAGGGGGAUAACGCGCCGAAAGGCGCGCUAAUACCCCAUAAGCUCACGAUGAUCAGAAGAUGGUGAGAAAAGGAAUUUUGCUCUGGGAGGGGUCUGCGGCCCAUCAGGUAGUUGGUAGGGUAACGGCCUACCAAGCCAAUGACGGGUAGGGGGCCUGAGAGGGUGGUCCCCCACACGGGCACUGAGAGACGGGCCCGACUCCUACGGGAGGCAGCAGUAAGGGAUAUUGCACAAUGGGCGCAAGCCUGAUGCAGCAACGCCGCGUGCCUGAGGAAGGCCUUCGGGUCGUAAAGGGCUUUUCUGGCUGAAGAGGAAGGACUGUAGGCCAGGAAGAAGUGUCGGCUAACUACGUGCCAGCAGCCGCGGUAAAACGUAGGACGCGAGCGUUAUCCGGAGUUACUGGGCGUAAAGGGCGGGCAGGCGGUCGGACAAGUUGGCGGUGAAAGCGCCCGGCUCAACCGGGCGAGGCCCGUCGAAACUGUCGGACUGGAGGGCAGAGGAGGCGCGUGGAAUUCCCGGCGGAGUGGUGAAAUGCGUAGAGAUCGGGAGGAACACCAGAGGCGAAGGCGGCGCGCUGAGCUGCACCUGACGCUGAACCGCGAAAGCCAGGGGAGCGAACGGGAUUAGACACCCCGGUAGUCCUGGCCGUAAACGAUGUCCACUGGGUGUAUGCCCCGAAGGGGGUGUGCGCCGGAGCUAACGCGCUAAGUGGACCGCCUGGGGAGUACGGUCGCAAGGCUAAAACUCAAAGGAAUUGACGG